This is a long non-coding RNA of Syngnathus acus (greater pipefish), 1220 nucleotides long. RefSeq lists it as uncharacterized. The record is from RefSeq and is a predicted model, not a curated record. The transcript is spliced from 2 exons. Lineage: Eukaryota; Metazoa; Chordata; Actinopteri; Syngnathiformes; Syngnathidae.
CUUUUGAUAAGAGACUGCAGUGGUGCGGAGAUGAAACACACACCACAGCAAAACUACAUAGGCAUACACUAUAUCAAAGGAUAAGGAGACCCAAACAGUUUGUCUGGGUCAUUAUGUCAUGGGUGAGCCUUUAGAUCAUAAGAAGCAGUCAUCUGUAGAUGAACAUGCGUUUGAGGACAUAUGUGACAUUUGGGAAACCUCUAAUUUGGACUUUUCUUGAUAUAGCUCGGUGCUGCAUCAAACCAAACACUGCAUGGACGGAUUCUUUAAAGUGCCAUUAAAAGGAGGCCUAAUUGGAGAGUAUGCGUGUUUGGAGGUGUACGGAACAUGCAUAAUCUGGACAUGGAGAAAAGAAAAGCUCCCUUUAGGAGCCAAUGUCCAAUUAGUGUGGUAGAAAAGGUGGAAGCCAAAAAUUUGUUUACAACAAGGCUGUUUUUUUUCCAUUCUAUAUGAGACGGAGGGAACCCAGUUGGAGACAACAGAGUGGGUGUGGCUACGCCCUGCAAACCGCAGGGCCAUUGACAUUGCACUGCACAAACCACGAGGUCAGAGGAAGGUUGUUUCUUCCGAGGUACAAAGGGGUGAUUUUUCACCCACUCCAUGAGAACAGCGACAAAUAAUGAACUCUCGAGACUGCUGCUAUCACGUUCGGAUUCACACGCGUCAACUCCAUUUUGGAGCGGAACAAAAGGGCAGUAGACCAAAUAUUGGUGGGGAGGGCACGGCAUGCACUAGACAUGCCAUGCCGGGUACAGGCCGUCACCACCCUCCUUUCUCAUCGUCUGCUGGGCUAAACUAGAAAAGCAUUUUGGACUGUCCAGACAGCUCAAGCUGCACUUACUCUGACAUGAAAAGCCGUGCUUAAUUCAGACUGUCUCAUGGCUGAUUAAUCAUAAUUUAUGAUCAAAUAGAUGACUUACAGGAUCAACAUAUGCCACCCUGCUCACAAGUCCAUGUGGCUUUUUCUCUGUGCACAGGCACCAAUUGCAUGUUUGUGUAACACUGUCUCCCCAAAGUCUGUAACACCAACAAAAUCAGUGUGCCGACACCAAAAUAUGCACAUUAGUGCCCUCUUUUAGAUUUGCAGCCUUAAACAGCACUUUUCUUCUUCCUACACAAUUUGAAGCAGAAAUAAUUAUAAUGCCACACAAUAAGAUCAAACAUUACGGAUCGACCCAGCUAAUUUAAAAAAAAAAACAUUAAAAAAAAGUCAAAAUUCU